This 617-nucleotide ribosomal RNA is filed under the name uncultured fungus. Its description in RNAcentral is "eukaryotic LSU rRNA". It matches the Rfam family "Eukaryotic large subunit ribosomal RNA", at positions 23 to 664 of the family's 3401-position model. The record is from RNAcentral. Lineage: Eukaryota; Fungi.
ACCCGCUGAACUUAAGCAUAUCAAUAAGCGGAGGAAAAGAAACCAACAGGGAUUGCCCUAGUAACGGCGAGUGAAGCGGCAAAAGCUCAAAUUUGAAAUCUGGUCCUAGACCCGAAUUGUAAUUUGUAGAGGAAAGUUUGGUGAUAUUAUCGGUCUAAGUUUCCUGGAACGGAACGUCUUAGAGGGUGAGAGCCCCGUAUUCGACUGGAUAAUAGAACCAUGUAAACUUCCUUCGAAGAGUCGAGUUGUUUGGGAAUGCAGCUCAAAAUGGGUGGUAAAUUCCAUCUAAAGCUAAAUAUUGGCCAGAGACCGAUAGCGCACAAGUAGAGUGAUCGAAAGAUGAAAAGCACUUUGGAAAGAGAGUGAAACAGUACGUGAAAUUGUUGAAAGGGAAGCGCUUAUAAUCAGACAUGUCCAUUGUGUUCCGCCGAUCAUUGAUCGGUUCACUCAUGAUUGACAGGCCAACAUCAGUUUUGACAAUUGGAUAAAGAUUUGAGGAAUGUGAUUUUCUUAGGGAAAUGUUAUAGCCUCUUAUAUAAUACAAUUAGUUGGGACUGAGGUCAGCGUUCGCUUGGAUGUUGGCAUAAUGGUUAUCAGCGGCCCGUCUUGAAACACGG